GAUGAACGCUGGCGGCGUGCCUAAUACAUGCAAGUCGAGCGAACGGACGAGAAGCUUGCUUAUCUGAUGUUAGCGGCGGACGGGUGAGUAACACGUGGAUAACCUACCUAUAAGACUGGGAUAACUUCGGGAAACCGGAGCUAAUACCGGAUAAUAUUUUGAACCGCAUGGUUCAAAAGUGAAAGACGGUCUUGCUGUCACUUAUAGAUGGAUCCGCGCUGCAUUAGCUAGUCGGUAAGGUAACGGCUUACCAAGGCAACGAUGCAUAGCCGACCUGAGAGGGUGAUCGGCCACACUGGAACUGAGACACGGUCCAGACUCCUACGGGAGGCAGCAGUAGGGAAUCUUCCGCAAUGGGCGAAAGCCUGACGGAGCAACGCCGCGUGAGUGAUGAAGGUCUUCGGAUCGUAAAACUCUGUUAUUAGGGAAGAACAUAUGUGUAAGUAACUGUGCACAUCUUGACGGUACCUAAUCAGAAAGCCACGGCUAACUACGUG
Molecule: ribosomal RNA, 497 nt
Filed under: uncultured bacterium
Lineage: Bacteria
Description: partial 16S ribosomal RNA
Rfam family: Bacterial small subunit ribosomal RNA
Source: RNAcentral